This 209-nucleotide ribosomal RNA is filed under the name uncultured bacterium. RNAcentral describes it as "partial 16S ribosomal RNA". It matches the Rfam family "Bacterial small subunit ribosomal RNA", at positions 568 to 776 of the family's 1533-position model. The record is from RNAcentral.
CACGUAGGCGGCUUUGUAAGUCGGAUGUGAAAGCCCCGGGCUUAACCUGGGAAUUGCAUCCGAAACUGCAUGGCUAGAGUAAAGGAGAGGGAAGUGGAAUUUCCGGUGUAGCGGUGAAAUGCGUAGAUAUCGGAAGGAACACCAGUGGCGAAGGCGACUUCCUGGCCUAUUACUGACGCUGAGGUGCGAAAGCGUGGGGAGGCAAAACA